GUGCUCACUUCAGCAGCUCAUACACUACAACUGGAACGAUGCAGAGAUGAUUACCAUGAUUAUCAUGGCCUCUACGCAAGGAUGACACAGAAAUUCAUCAAGCGUUCCAUAUUACA
This is a small nuclear RNA of Gorilla gorilla gorilla (western lowland gorilla), 116 nucleotides long. NCBI's taxonomy places the organism in Eukaryota, Metazoa, Chordata, Mammalia, Primates, Hominidae. The record is from Ensembl.